GCCCUGGGGCGCCCUGCACGCCGCGCCGCCGGAUGCGGCUACUCCGCGUGCGAAAGCGCCCUUUGCGGGGGGGGGGGGGGUGGCCCUUAAAAAAAACCCUGGGGGGGGGGGGGGGGGGGCAAAACCCAAGCCCGAGGCAGGGCCCCACAGGUGUGCGCUCAGCGGGGUCUCGCCAUCACUUGGUGAGGCUGCAGGGCUCUCCCUCUUACCCAGAAUGUGAGACAGCUGCGAAGUGAACCCGGGUCUGACUCCUGAGCCAUCACCCUGACCCUGGCCAUCACCAGGCAACCUCAGCGGAGUGGCGGCGGCCCCUGCGCCCACUGGCCGUGUCCUCGGGAAUUCACGGCAUCUGAAAGUACUAGGGAAGGGUCGUUUUCUCUUCAAGGGAGAAAACGAAGUCAGCAGCGUCAGGGGAGGGGUUCUUGUGGGGCACUCGUGGAUUCCCACACCUUCCUUCCCCGGGAUGGGAUCUCAUCCACAGGCACCCCCAGAGGCGGUCAGAAUUGGCAGGGCAGCCCCAGCGUACAGGUGAGCGGUUUGAGCUCACCUGCAGAGAAGCCAUGGCCACUGCUGCAGACGGAAGGGGCCAGAGGUCGCCCAGCCACCCUCACAGGAACGCUGCACGUGCCCCAAGAACUUUAUUCAGCCUCGGGAAGGUGCAGUUCCGACACCUGCGCGUCCGGGAUGGGGUGUUCCAAAUGAGCAAGAUCUGGCCUGGGCAGGUGAGUCACGUCACCUCGGGGUGGUGCCAGCCCCAGGGCUGGAGGCGGCCAGGUCACCAGCUGCUUAGCUGGAGGUCUUGCUGCUCCGCUGCCAGUUCGGUGGGAGACAUUCCUGCAGAUGACUCAGCGACUCGGCACCCUCAGCACCGGGGCUUCUGACGGCCCGGCGACCACAGCUGACGCCCGGUGGAGACCCGCAGGCCCAGUCACGGUCUGUCGGUCUGUCGGCCUGUUUGCAGGACGAGGAAGCCGGGCCUCCCGGGGAAGGCAGGCAGGCAGGCGAGGGGAGCGCGUGCAGCAGGAAGAAUGCGA
RNAcentral lists this long non-coding RNA (1034 nucleotides) under Oryctolagus cuniculus (rabbit). Its description in RNAcentral is "lncRNA (ENSOCUG00000038498.1)". The record is from RNAcentral. Lineage: Eukaryota; Metazoa; Chordata; Mammalia; Lagomorpha; Leporidae.